Molecule: ribosomal RNA, 397 nt
Filed under: uncultured bacterium
Lineage: Bacteria
Description: partial 16S ribosomal RNA
Rfam family: Bacterial small subunit ribosomal RNA
Source: RNAcentral
UCUUGCGCAAUGGGCGAAAGCCUGACGCAGCGACGCCGCGUGAGUGAAGAAGGCCUUCGGGUUGUAAAACUCAGUCCUCAGGGAAGAAGCAAGUGACGGGACCUGAGGAGGAAGCCCCGGCUAACUACGUUCCAGCAGCCGCGGUAAUACGUAGGGUGCGAGCGUGGUCCGGAAUCAUUGGGCUUAAAGGGUGCGUAGGCGGACUUUUAAGUCAGGUGAGAAAGACCACAGCUUAACUGUGGCGUUGCAUUUGAAACUGGAGGGCUUGAGUAGCAGAGAGGGUAGUGGAAUUCCCGGUGUAGCGGUGAAAUGCAUAGAUAUCGGGAGGAACACCAGUGGCGAAGGCGACUACCUGGACGAAAACUGACGCUGAGGCACGAAAGCUAGGAUAGAAAAC